This 293-nucleotide long non-coding RNA is filed under the name Salvia miltiorrhiza (redroot sage). RNAcentral describes it as "long non-coding RNA (SMIL_LNC003352)". Lineage: Eukaryota; Viridiplantae; Streptophyta; Magnoliopsida; Lamiales; Lamiaceae. The record is from RNAcentral.
UGAUAUUUAAAAGUCUGAAUUGAAUACACUCAGCCUUUCAAAAUCCUUUAAAAUCCUACGGCAUCUCAAUUCAAUACCCCCUAAAAUUUAUCGGGAGAAAGACCGAUACGAUUUGUGUGAAUAAAACUGAAAAAAUAUCACUACACGUGAUGUGUGUUACAACAAAAACUUUAUUUCUCGAGUUUCAAAAAAAAAAAAAAAAACUUUAUUUAGCAAAAUAACUCCCACAACUAUUUUCAACUUUCGAGAGAGCACUUGACCACUAAAUUAUCGGUCGUCCUAAUUUAUUCUUG